UGCAGUCGAGCGGAGUGAUGGUGCUUGCACUAUCACUUAGCGGCGGACGGGUGAGUAAUGCUUAGGAAUCUGCCUAUUAGUGGGGGACAACAUUUCGAAAGGAAUGCUAAUACCGCAUACGUCCUACGGGAGAAAGCAGGGGAUCUUCGGACCUUGCGCUAAUAGAUGAGCCUAAGUCGGAUUAGCUAGUUGGUGGGGUAAAGGCCUACCAAGGCGACGAUCUGUAGCGGGUCUGAGAGGAUGAUCCGCCACACUGGGACUGAGACACGGCCCAGACUCCUACGGGAGGCAGCAGUGGGGAAUAUUGGACAAUGGGCGCAAGCCUGAUCCAGCCAUGCCGCGUGUGUGAAGAAGGCCUUAUGGUUGUAAAGCACUUUAAGCGAGGAGGAGGCUACUGAAGUUAAUACCUUCAGAUAGUGGACGUUACUCGCAGAAUAAGCACCGGCUAACUCUGUGCCAGCAGCCGCGGUAAUACAGAGGGUGCAAGCGUUAAUCGGAUUUACUGGGCGUAAAGCGCGCGUAGGCGGCUAAUUAAGUCAAAUGUGAAAUCCCCGAGCUUAACUUGGGAAUUGCAUUCGAUACUGGUUAGCUAGAGUGUGGGAGAGGAUGGUAGAAUUCCAGGUGUAGCGGUGAAAUGCGUAGAGAUCUGGAGGAAUACCGAUGGCGAAGGCAGCCAUCUGGCCUAACACUGACGCUGAGGUGCGAAAGCAUGGGGAGCAAACAGGAUUAGAUACCCUGGUAGUCCAUGCCGUAAACGAUGUCUACUAGCCGUUGGGGCCUUUGAGGCUUUAGUGGCGCAGCUAACGCGAUAAGUAGACCGCCUGGGGAGUACGGUCGCAAGACUAAAACUCAAAUGAAUUGACGGGGGCCCGCACAAGCGGUGGAGCAUGUGGUUUAAUUCGAUGCAACGCGAAAAACCUUACCUGGCCUUGACAUAGUAAGAACUUUCCAAAGAUGGAUUGGUGCCUUCGGGAACUUACAUACAGGUGCUGCAUGGCUGUCGUC
Molecule: ribosomal RNA, 1005 nt
Filed under: Acinetobacter calcoaceticus
Lineage: Bacteria; Pseudomonadati; Pseudomonadota; Gammaproteobacteria; Moraxellales; Moraxellaceae
Description: bacterial SSU rRNA
Rfam family: Bacterial small subunit ribosomal RNA
Source: RNAcentral